Molecule: ribosomal RNA, 253 nt
Filed under: uncultured bacterium
Lineage: Bacteria
Description: partial 16S ribosomal RNA
Rfam family: Bacterial small subunit ribosomal RNA
Source: RNAcentral
UACGGGGGGGGCAAGCGUUGUUCGGAAUUACUGGGCGUAAAGGGUUUGUAGGUGGCCAACUAAGUCAGACGUGAAAUCCCUCAGCUUAACUGGGGAACUGCGUCUGAUACUGGUUGGCUUGAGUGCAGGAGAGGAAUGCGGAAUUCCAGGUGUAGCGGUGAAAUGCGUAGAUAUCAGGAAGAACACCAGCGGCGAAGGCGGCACUCUGGGCCGGAACUGACGCUGAGGAGCGAAAGCGUGGGUAGCAAACAGG